Helianthus annuus (common sunflower) is the source of this 840-nucleotide RNA transcript. It is a transcript of the gene named RING-box protein 1a, with no coding region annotated. The transcript has 6 exons. The record is from RefSeq and is a predicted model, not a curated record. Lineage: Eukaryota; Viridiplantae; Streptophyta; Magnoliopsida; Asterales; Asteraceae.
AAUUUUAAGAUGGCAUACAAAAAGUCAAGUUAAAAUGCUAACACACCGGCCUCCCUCUUUUCCUCAUGAAAACCCUAUCACGUGCCUUGUGUCUGCGGUCUUCAAUUGCAAGCAAAUGAAGCGUCUCGCCUUCCGGCGGUUUCCUUCGCCCCUCUACUCUAUAAUACCUAUACAGAUUUGGGGAAUUUUAGGAUCAUCGUCAGUCGUUUAGGGUUCGAGAAUCAAAACCCCUAAUGUUGAACAUCAAUGGAUUCAGACGUAGCGAUGGUUCCCGCCGGUGACUCAACGAGUCUUCCAGGUCCUUCAUCAUCUUCAAAGAAACCGAAGCGUCUUGAAAUCAAGAAGUGGAACGCCGUCGCUCUUUGGGCUUGGGAAAUCACAUCAUGGAUCUAUGUAUUGAAUGUCAAGCUAAUCAGGCUAGCGCUACCAGCGAAGAGUGUACUAUUGCUUGGGGUUGCUGGUGAAGAGCCAAAUCCUUGCUGGUGGAAGGGGCCUAGGGAAGUGUUUAAAUCAGUGUUUUGUAGUGUGUUAUUCACACAUUAAGUAUCUCUAAAGGUUGUUGCAGCCAUGGAAUCUUAAAUGUGCAAAGAAGGCAUGUUCUCAAUGAAUUUCUACAAUUGAAAGGCCCACAAUAAACGGUGAGAAAUUUAGCCAUCAAAGGCCCGUUGUUCCGGUAGAUUCAAGUGGCAUUCUGGUUCAUUUCGCCGAGAACAAGAGAAAACUGUAUGAUUUUCAGAUAUAUGUAGUAUGUUCUUUAUAUUUCAAUUGAUGUAUCUAAUCAUGAUAAUUUGUCCUUGAGAGUUCAUUUGUUUUUCUUAUAUGUUCAUGAUUUGAUCUUUA